CCUCUAAAGAAUGUGAAACUGGCUCAUUUUUCUCUGCUGAGACAUUUUUACUGUCCAAAAGGAAGUAAAGUUACUGAUCCUGCUUUUUCACUUAUAUCCACAGUUGUUUAAAUGCUAAUGCAUGGUCUCAGUGGCAGAACUAACCACCCUGAAGCAUGUUUCCCUCUCCAGGAGUUUCACACUUCAAUUCUAGCUCUGAGCUGAGAUAUUGGAGACCUCAGUGAGGGUGAGUGAUGCCCAAGGGGUGUUGAGAGUGGCUCUCUGGACAUGCUUGCUCCUGGCACUGCAGCCUGUCAGUACAUGAGGCGUUAAUGAGAAGUUUAUGACGAAAGUGAGGGUCUCUACUCCUGCUAUUCUCCAUCACAGAUAUGUUUUUUUCCGCAAGAGGACAGAGGCAUCUCUUUCUGGGCAACAGGUGUGA
This 421-nucleotide long non-coding RNA is filed under the name Parus major (Great Tit). Its description in RNAcentral is "lncRNA (ENSPMJG00000001275.1)". Lineage: Eukaryota; Metazoa; Chordata; Aves; Passeriformes; Paridae. The record is from RNAcentral.